UAAAAAUAGCCCCCCUGGUGACAGAGCUGGGGUGCCAUCCCGGGAGGCGGCAGGCCUCAGGUUGACAUGGCAGCGGUGGGGAGAGAUCUCCAGGAAGUUCUCCUGCAUAUCUAGCUUCAGUCCAUCUUGCUGCAAAGAAAACAACAGCAAUUUUCUUGGCAUUUCAAAGAAGAACAAAAAGGAAGAGAAUGGGCAGGAUAUAAAGAAGACUUUGGAGAGGGAGAAGAUGCCGCUGGAACUGAGGGGAGAGGAACAGCUGCAGGACUGGGGACAUGGGAGACAGAGGGGCAAGAGUACUA
This is a long non-coding RNA of Physeter macrocephalus (sperm whale), 299 nucleotides long. RefSeq lists it as uncharacterized. Lineage: Eukaryota; Metazoa; Chordata; Mammalia; Artiodactyla; Physeteridae. The transcript is spliced from 3 exons. The record is from RefSeq and is a predicted model, not a curated record.